UACCAUGGUGGUAACGGGUAACGGGGUGUUAGGGCACGACACCGGAGAGGGAGCCUGAGAAACGGCUACCACAUCCAAGGAAGGCAGCAGGCGCGCAAAUUACCCAAUCCCGACACGGGGAGGUAGUGACAAUAAAUAACAAUACAGGGCUCUUUUGGGUCUUGUAAUUGGAAUGAGUACAAUUUAAAUCUCUUAACGAGGAACAAUUGGAGGGCAAGUCUGGUGCCAGCAGCCGCGGUAAUUCCAGCUCCAAUAGCGUAUAUUAAAGUUGUUGCAGUUAAAAAGCUCGUAGUUGAAUUUCGGAAUCAAUAUGUCGGUCGUGCUUCGGUACGUACUGGUAUCAUUGGUUUCUCCUUUCUGACGAACCAUGAUGUCAUUAAUUUGGUGUUACGGGGAGUUAGGACUGUUACUUUGAAAAAAUUAGAGUGUUUAAAGCAGGCUUUAGCUUGAAUACAUUAGCAUGGAAUAAUGAAAUAGGACGUUCGAACCUAUUUUGUUGGUUUCUAGGAUCAACGUAAUGAUUAAUAGGGAUAGUUGGGGGCAUUAGUAUUCAAUUGUCAGAGGUGAAAUUCUUGGAUUUAUUGAAGACUAACUACUGCGAAAGCAUUUGCCAAGGAUGUUUUCAUUAAUCAAGAACGAAAGUUAGGGGAUCGAAGACGAUCAGAUACCGUCGUAGUCUUAACCAUAAACUAUGCCGACUAGGGAUCGGAUGAUGUUAAUUUUUUAAUGACUCAUUCGGCGCCUUACGGGAAACCAAAGUGUUU
RNAcentral lists this ribosomal RNA (764 nucleotides) under uncultured Glomus. RNAcentral describes it as "SSU rRNA". It matches the Rfam family "Eukaryotic small subunit ribosomal RNA", at positions 342 to 1108 of the family's 1831-position model. Lineage: Eukaryota; Fungi; Glomeromycota; Glomeromycetes; Glomerales; Glomeraceae. The record is from RNAcentral.